Molecule: ribosomal RNA, 460 nt
Filed under: uncultured bacterium
Lineage: Bacteria
Description: partial 16S ribosomal RNA
Rfam family: Bacterial small subunit ribosomal RNA
Source: RNAcentral
CCUACGGGAGGCAGCCGUGAGGAAUAUUGGUCAAUGGACGAGAGUCUGAACCAGCCAAGUAGCGUGAAGGAUGACUGCCCUAUGUGUUGUAAACUUCUUUUAUAUGGGAAUAAAAUGUUCCCCGUGUGGGAGUUUGUAUGUCCCAUAUGAAUAAGUAUCUGCUAACUCCGUGCCAGCAGCCGCGGUAAUACGGAGGAUCCGGGCGUUAUCCGGAUUUAUUGGGUUUAAAGUGAGCGUAGGUGGAUUGUUAAGUCAGUUGUGAAAGUUUGCGGCUCAACCGUAAAAUUGCAGUUGACACUGGCAGUCUUGAGUACAGUAGAGGUGGGCGGAAUUCGUGGUGUAGCGGUUAAAUGCUGAGAUAUCACGAAGAACUCCGAUUGCGAAGGCAGCUCACUGGACUGCAACUGACACUGAGGCUCGAAAGUGUGGGUAUCAAACAGGAUUAGAUACCCGAGUAGUC